This 496-nucleotide ribosomal RNA is filed under the name uncultured bacterium. RNAcentral's name for it is "partial 16S ribosomal RNA". It matches the Rfam family "Bacterial small subunit ribosomal RNA", at positions 29 to 507 of the family's 1533-position model. The record is from RNAcentral.
AACGAACGCUGGCGGCGCGUCUUAAGCAUGCAAGUCGAACGGCAAGAGAGGAGCUUGCUUCUCUCCUAGAGUGGCGGACUGGUGAGGAACACGUGGGUAAUCUACCCUUAAGAUGGGGAUAGCUGCUCGAAAUAGCAGGUAAUACCGAAUACACUCUGCAUAUCCCAAGCGUUGUUGAGUAAAGGAAGCUACGGCUUCGAUUGAUGAUGAGCUUGCGUCCCAUUAGCUAGUUGGUGAGGUAAAGGCCCACCAAGGCGACGAUGGGUAUCCGGCCUGAGAGGGUGAACGGACACAUUGGGACUGAGAUACGGCCCAAACUCCUACGGGAGGCAGCAGCGAAGAAUAUUCCGCAAUGGGCGGAAGUCUGACGGAGCGACGCCGCGUGGAUGAAGAAGGCUGAAAAGUUGUAAAAUCCUUUUGUUGAUGAAGAAUAAGGGUGAGAGGGAAUACUCAUCUGAUGACGGUAACCGACGAAAAAGCCCCGGCUAAUUACGUG